AGGCGACAGCGAGAGCGCGAAGAAUGAGCGCUCCACGCAUUCAAUAAGUGCCAACAAUCCCGAUUGGAAGCUGAAUAUUGAGUGUUAAGUAUUAGAUAGUGGCGGACGGGUGAGUAACGCGUGGGUAACCUACCCAUAAAGCCGGGACAACCCUUGGAAACGAGGGCUAAUACCGGAUAAUCUUAGAGCCUGGCAUCAGGUUUUAAGGAAAGAUGGCCUCUGAAUAUGCUAUCGAUUAUGGAUGGACCCGCGUCUGAUUAGCUAGUUGGUGAGGUAAAGGCCUACCAGGGCGACGAUCAGUAGCCGGCCUGAGAGGGUGAACGGCCACACUGGGACUGAGACACGGCCCAGACUCCUACGGGAGGCAGCAGUGGGGAAUCUUCCGCAAUGGACGAAAGUCUGACGGAGCAACGCCGCGUGUAUGAUGAAGGUCUUCGGAUUGUAAAGUACUGUCUUUGGGGA
RNAcentral lists this ribosomal RNA (462 nucleotides) under uncultured bacterium. RNAcentral's name for it is "bacterial SSU rRNA". It matches the Rfam family "Bacterial small subunit ribosomal RNA", at positions 1 to 445 of the family's 1533-position model. The record is from RNAcentral.